Molecule: long non-coding RNA, 1989 nt
Filed under: Mus pahari (shrew mouse)
Lineage: Eukaryota; Metazoa; Chordata; Mammalia; Rodentia; Muridae
Description: predicted gene 13497 (MGP_PahariEiJ_G0005451.1)
Source: RNAcentral
AGAUACUCUGCGUAAUUGGUGAUUUCUGAUUGCCUCACUGAAAGUCUUGUCUUGAUACUGGCGAUAAUCACUGCCUGAUGAGAACAUUUCACUCUCCAGCAUGUGUAGUCAUAAUUAUUUUAGAUUCCUAUGUAAAGUUAAUCAACCCUGAAGGGGGACUCCCUGCCUGUCGCCGUAGAGGUAACAGCUAACGUUUCUGCUAUUUGAUUUCAUUUGAUCUCUGUUGAGGGAGAAAUCAUCUUCUGUUUACAAAACUAGCCUGCAAAAUUGGACCUGUUAUGUGAAGUAGAAUCUGCAUCUCUGGCAGAUGACUGCGCCUGGUUAUUAAUGCGUGCUGAGUAGCAUCCUCAUGGAAGAACAGUUCCUCUGAUCGAAAGAAGUGUGCUCCAGGAUCUUCUACAAUGGAUAUUAGAACUGUACGACUAUAGGUAUCGCUCAAUCAACAUUUAAAGAUUUGUAAGGAAACCUAUGAUUUGAACAUUAAUAAGCGCACAGUCAGGGGUGCUGCCCAGGAUCGGAUACUAUUCAGUGAAACCAAUAAAUAGAGUAAUGAAAAUAUUAUCAAGCUCCUGUCAGGUAUCCCAAGCCCUGCAUUGAUGUCACUUGGAAUAGAAAUAAUGUCAAGACAACUGCAAAGUCUUUCAUACAACAUCUUAUGGUGCCAAGUCAGGGGACAGGCUCAGUGGAUGGAGUGCUCACCCUGCAAGUGUAAUGGCUGGAACUCAGAUCCCUGGCAUCUGUAUAAAAGCUAAGCAUGGCAUGCACCCCUGUAAUCUCAGCACUGGGGAAGGGAGAUGUCUGGGCUGGUUGGCCAGACAGUCCAGGCAAUCAGUGAGCUCCAGGUUCAAUGAGACUCCCAGCCUCAAAAACUAAGGUAGAGAUUGAGAAUGAUACUCAGCAUCUACCCUCUGUGCACAUGCUUGCACACACACACACACACACACACACACACACACACACAAACACACACAUACACACACUUCUCCUAAUUAACAAGCUGCACCUAAUGCUGAAACUUAAGUCAUUAUUAUUCUAAAACAAGAAAUGAUCAUCAGAAUUCUAUCGACCACUGAUUUUUAAGAACACAAUUUGAGUUUUAAACCUUGUCAGGAUGUUAAGUUCAUUACACUGUAGUUGUAGUCACAAGCUAAGCAAUGGGAAAGCAUCUUUGCAUCUCUGCAUGAACUGGUAGCAUCAUAUUUAGUAGCUCUGUGGUACUUAUUUGUUAGUAAACUGCCCUGUGCCCCGCUUACCAUAACAGGGUGGACCUGACAGAACUACGAGUACUGUGACCUGCUUAGAAUAGUUCCUGAAAUUUAGUUAAUUUCUAGAAAUGUGUUAUUUGAUUUUCCUCCAGCUCAGUUAAUGGAGUAGCUCCACACAUAUGGUAAAAAUUAGACUAGCCAGCAGGACACAAGCAAUGAGAAUUAGCCUCAGCCUUGGGAAGACUGAGUCUGGCUCCUAUUAUUGCCUCUGAAGUGGUCAGCUAAGCAGGGACUCAGAGCCACAGGGCAAAGGGUCCUUUCUGGGUUGUCCUUUCCUCCCUUGUCAUAGAAAUUCAUUCUGUAAAAUUGAACUUUGUGGGUUUUAGCACCCUUUCUACCCCAACAAUUCUGCCAGAUCAUGAUGUGAUUCUGCUGUGUCCAUAACUGAAGACAUAGCUUUUAUUUACCUGUUUGUUGUUUGUUUGCUUGUUUUUGUCACCCCCCCUAUUUGAUUAGAAAUGCCUUGUUUUCAACCAGUGUUACAGGAGGGACCCUGCUGCAGACGAUUCCUCACACAGAACUUCUCCUGGAAAUUGACUCUCAUAAUAGUAGACUCUGAUGCUCAGAAAAUUUUGACCUUUAAUCAUGUAGUCUAAAUAAUACCCUCAAACAAAACAGAACAAAACCACAACAACAAAACCCUACAGAGCUUUGCAUUGCUUUGAAUAAAUGAUAAAAUAAAUCUAUUGUGAUUCAUUAAAGAAGAAGUCAAAUAUGUAGCCAU